RNAcentral lists this ribosomal RNA (622 nucleotides) under uncultured bacterium. RNAcentral describes it as "bacterial SSU rRNA". It matches the Rfam family "Bacterial small subunit ribosomal RNA", at positions 862 to 1482 of the family's 1533-position model. The record is from RNAcentral.
AAGUUCCCCGCCUGGGGAGUACGGCCGCAAGGCUAAAACUCAAAGGAAUUGACGGGGGCCCGCACAAGCGGCGGAGCAUGCGGAUUAAUUCGAUGCAACGCGAAGAACCUUACCAAGGCUUGACAUAGCCGAGAACGCUGUAGAGAUACAGAACUCUUUGGACACUCGGUUACAGGUGGUGCAUGGUUGUCGUCAGCUCGUGUCGUGAGAUGUUCGGUUAAGUCCGGCAACGAGCGCAACCCUCGUCCUAUGUUGCCAGCACGUUAUGGUGGGAACUCAUGGGAUACUGCCGUGGUCAACACGGAGGAAGGUGGGGAUGACGUCAAGUCAUCAUGCCCCUUAUGUCUUGGGCUUCACGCAUGCUACAAUGGCCGAUACAAAGGGCUGCGAUACCGCGAGGUGGAGCGAAUCCCAAAAAGUCGGUCUCAGUUCGGAUUGGGGUCUGCAACUCGACCCCAUGAAGUCGGAGUCGCUAGUAAUCGCAGAUCAGCAACGCUGCGGUGAAUACGUUCCCGGGCCUUGUACACACCGCCCGUCAAGUCAUGAAAGUCGGUAACACCCGAAGCCGGUGGCCUAACCCUUGUGGAGGGAGCCGUCGAAGGUGGGACUGGUGAUUAGGACU